GACGAACGCUGGCGGCGUGCCUAAUACAUGCAAGUAGAACGCUGAAGGAGGAGCUUGCUUCUCUGGAUGAGUUGCGAACGAGUGAGUAACGCGUAGGUAACCUGCCUGGUAGCGGGGGAUAACUAUUGGAAACGAUAGCUAAUACCGCAUAAGAGUAGAUGUCGCAUGACAUUUGCUUAAAAGGUGCAAUUGCAUCACUACCAGAUGGACCUGCGUUGUAUUAGCUAGUUGGUGAGGUAACGGCUCACCAAGGCAACGAUACAUAGCCGACCUGAGAGGGUGAUCGGCCACACUGGGACUGAGACACGGCCCAGACUCCUACGGGAGGCAGCAGUAGGGAAUCUUCGGCAAUGGACGGAAGUCUGACCGAGCAACGCCGCGUGAGUGAAGAAGGUUUUCGGAUCGUAAAGCUCUGUUGUAAGAGAAGAACGAGUGUGAGAGUGGAAAGUUCACACUGUGACGGUAUCUUACCAGAAAGGGACGGCUAACUACGUG
RNAcentral lists this ribosomal RNA (495 nucleotides) under uncultured bacterium. RNAcentral's name for it is "partial 16S ribosomal RNA". It matches the Rfam family "Bacterial small subunit ribosomal RNA", at positions 28 to 507 of the family's 1533-position model. The record is from RNAcentral.